RNAcentral lists this ribosomal RNA (440 nucleotides) under uncultured bacterium. RNAcentral's name for it is "partial 16S ribosomal RNA". It matches the Rfam family "Bacterial small subunit ribosomal RNA", at positions 338 to 795 of the family's 1533-position model. The record is from RNAcentral.
CCUACGGGAGGCAGCAGUAGGGAAUAUUGCUCAAUGGGGGAAACCCUGAAGCAGCAACGCCGCGUGGAGGAUGAAGGUUUUCGGAUUGUACACUCCUUUUGUUAGAGAAGAUAAUGACGGUAUCUAACGAAUAAGCACCGGCUAACUCCGUGCCAGCAGCCGCGGUAAUACGGAGGGUGCAAGCGUUACUCGGAAUCACUGGGCGGAAAGAGCGCGUAGGCGGGAUAGCAAGUCAGAUGUGAAAUCCUAUGGCUUAACCAUAGAACUGCAUUUGAAACUGUUAUUCUAGAGUAUGGGAGAGGAAGGUGGAAUUCUUGGUGGAGGGGUAAAAUCCGUAGAGAUCAAGAGGAAUACUCAUUGCGAAGGCGACCUGCUAGAACAUAACUGACGCUGAUGCGCGAAAGCGUGGGGAGCAAACAGGAUUAGAUACCCCUGUAGUC